GAUGAACAGAACAAGCAUGAUUGCUAAUAGGUUCAUUAGCAGCACUGUAAUACUCUUCUUUCAGCCUCCUUCUCCCUCAGAAAGACCUCUGGAAAGUUCAAAGUGUCAAGAAAAUUGUUGCAGAACUGUGAUAAGACAUGACAUUCAAGUAGUGAGGACUUCCAUAACACUGGCUAAAUGCCUUAUUAAUCUAACAUGUGUCAGCAGAUAAAAAGGAGAGAAGGAAACCUUAUGCAAAGAAACUGUAAUGAUGCAGUAGCUCUAUGACAUCAGCUGCUGUUUGCCAGCAUAGUGCACAGCAGGUGAGGAGAGGAGCCACUCCAGGUAAGAGAGUGUCUCAGAUGUCUGCUAGCUACAGUGAGAGUGCUGCAGCUGAAGGACAUGCUCUCAGAGCAA
RNAcentral lists this long non-coding RNA (396 nucleotides) under Ficedula albicollis (Collared flycatcher). RNAcentral describes it as "lncRNA (ENSFALG00000028711.1)". The record is from RNAcentral. Lineage: Eukaryota; Metazoa; Chordata; Aves; Passeriformes; Muscicapidae.